GCUGGCGGCAGGCUUAACACAUGCAAGUCGAGCGGAAACGAUGGGAGCUUGCUCCCAGGCGUCGAGCGGCGGACGGGUGAGUAAUACUUAGGAAUCUGCCCAGUAGUGGGGGAUAGCUCGGGGAAACUCGAAUUAAUACCGCAUACACCCUACGGGGAAAAGGGGGCGCUUGCGCUCUCGCUAUUGGAUGAGCCUAAGUCGGAUUAGCUAGUUGGUGGGGUAAAGGCCUACCAAGGCGACGAUCUGUAGCUGGUCUGAGAGGAUGAUCAGCCACACCGGGACUGAGACACGGCCCGGACUCCUACGGGAGGCAGCAGUGGGGAAUAUUGGACAAUGGGGGCAACCCUGAUCCAGCCAUGCCGCGUGUGUGAAGAAGGCCUUUUGGUUGUAAAGCACUUUAAGCAGUGAAGAAGACCUAACGGUUAAUACCCGUUAGCGAUGACAUUAGCUGCAGAAUAAGCACCGGCUAACUCUGUGCCAGCAGCCGCGGUAAUACAGAGGGUGCAAGCGUUAAUCGGAAUUACUGGGCGUAAAGCGAGCGUAGGUGGCUUGAUAAGUCAGAUGUGAAAUCCCCGGGCUUAACCUGGGAACUGCAUCUGAUACUGUCAGGCUAGAGUAGGUGAGAGGGAGGUAGAAUUUCAGGUGUAGCGGUGAAAUGCGUAGAGAUCUGAAGGAAUACCGAUGGCGAAGGCAGCCUCCUGGCAUCAUACUGACACUGAGGCUCGAAAGCGUGGGUAGCAAACAGGAUUAGAUACCCUGGUAGUCCACGCCGUAAACGAUGUCUACUAGUCGUUGGGGAACUUGAUUCCUUAGUGACGCAGCUAACGCAAUAAGUAGACCGCCUGGGGAGUACGGCCGCAAGGUUAAAACUCAAAUGAAUUGACGGGGGCCUGCACAAGCGGUGGAGCAUGUGGUUUAAUUCGAUGCAACGCGAAGAACCUUACCUGGUCUUGACUUAUCUAGAAUCCUGCAGAGAUGCGGGAGUGCCUUCGGGAAUUAGAAUACAGGUGCUGCAUGGCUGUCGUCAGCUCGUGUCGUGAGAUGUUGGGUUAAGUCCCGCAACGAGCGCAACCCUUUUCCUUAGUUACCAGCGGUUUGGCCGGGGACUCUAAGGAUACUGCCAGUGACAAACUGGAGGAAGGCGGGGACGACGUCAAGUCAUCAUGGCCCUUACGACCAGGGCUACACACGUGCUACAAUGGUAGGUACAGAGGGCAGCUACACAGCGAUGUGAUGCGAAUCUCAAAAAGCCUAUCGUAGUCCAGAUUGGAGUCUGCAACUCGACUCCAUGAAGUAGGAAUCGCUAGUAAUCGCGGAUCAGAAUGCCGCGGUGAAUACGUUCCCGGGCCUUGUACACACCGCCCGUCACACCAUGGGAGUUGAUUGCACCAGAAGUGGGUAGCCUAACUUUUAGAGGGCGCUCACCACGGUGU
RNAcentral lists this ribosomal RNA (1433 nucleotides) under uncultured bacterium. RNAcentral's name for it is "bacterial SSU rRNA". It matches the Rfam family "Bacterial small subunit ribosomal RNA". The record is from RNAcentral.